UUUUAAUUGUCUGUAUUGUCUACUUGUUAAAUGUUUGUAAAGUCUUCAUUUGUAAUUGUUUGUAAUGUCUUAUCAAUUGGUGUUGGACCACAGGAAGAUUAGCUAACGUUAUAGCGUUAGCUAAUGGGGACUCUAGUAAAGAUUCACAAGACUGUUCACAGAUUCACAUUGAUCACAGAAUCUGAUUGAUAAUCUUAAUUCGAAGUUUGAGUUUUUUACUGGACAACCAACACUUGACAGAUGGGCUAAUCCAUAGAAAGAAAAUGUGAUCUUGGAUCUUGAACUCCCCUAGCUACAUUUCAACUUAAUGUUCAAUAUUACUAGUGGCACUCUGUCCUUACGAACAGUAAAUCAUUGGGUCUGACUCUUUUGAUUUAAUGCAAUUUCAUCAUCGAUAGUGAAACAACCACCACAUAAUCGUCAACUCCCCCUACAAAACAUGAAUUUAUUUGUGGUUUAUCCUCUAGCUAUUUGGUAAUAGGUGUGAUCCUGACUUGGAAUGGCCACGAAGUUACACGUUGUUUUAGGUCCAGUUAGUUUGGAAGUUGUGGUAAAUGGGGGAGUGUGAGCGCGUGUCAUGAGAUGCUGCAGGUGUUGAUAUGGGGAUGGAUAGGCUACCACUGCCUUUAAUUACUACGCUCUGCCUGCACCUACCUCAACUGGUACUCUGCUGCCUCGCUGUGUUUGAGAGAUCAUCCCGGGCUUUGCCCCGUCUGCUGUAGCUGAGAUGUCCCUGGAGGACAUAGAACAACAAGACUAUGAUGUUUCUGACACUGAGAGAGUCAGAGCCUUGUCCCAGUCUCUAGACCUGCCUGUCUGUGUGGUGGAUGACCACCUGACCUCUGAAGCUGUCAAUGAGAUGGAGCAGAGCAAUUCUACCAGGAGCAGAGCAACCUCAGUGAUGGAAACCACAGAAGAGGGGAAGCUCAACAAUGUGGAACAUCUGACACUGAUGGACUUCCUUCAAAACCUAACUGAGAAGCAAUGGAGGGGGAUUCGUGAGGGCAUGUUUGACCCGCUGACAAAACAACAGCUUGCCGGCUUGUGUCUGAGGAUUGUCCAGUUUUUAUCGGACAAGCUGAUGCAGAUCAUCAUCCCAGGUCUUUACGAACUACUGGGCAUCCAAGAUGCUGCCUCCUCUCCAUUGUCACAGAGAUCUCUCACAGCGUCACUCACCAGUCCGUUAGACGAUAAGACUAACACCAAGUCCCGCGUGAGAUUUACUGAGGCUGGUGUACCUAAGAGGCCAGGCAGUCGAAAGUCUUACAAUAGCUUUCGCAUCCCGACUCCCUACCCUUCCUCCAACUGUAUGGAGCAGGAAGAGGAAGAAGAGCAGGAAUCACAACUUAAGUUCAAGGAGAUUUACCUGACUAAGGGCAGUGGAAGCUACCUGCCCAAGGGGGCCAUGAGGUAUGUUCUUAAAGGGAAAUUUAACAACUUCAUAUUCAUCUCCAGCAUCACCAUAUGUGAAAAUUACACAUUUCCAUGCUUUGUAGUAAAAAAUAUAGAGGGACGUAACUGUUUCCAAUAGUGCUGAGAAAUUAGUGCUUUUUGAGGUUGGUUUGGUUUCGAUUCAAAUAUUUAAAAAAUAAUCACGGUUUUGGAUUUCAAUACUUUUUUUAGACAUUGAAUGCACUAUGGAUUAUGUGUGUUGAAUGCUGUAACAACACAUAAUAAAACAAUGAAUAAAAGUCCCAUGAUGGUAGUGACUGUCCAUUACUGUUUAUGACUUAUCAACCAUCAUUUACUUUCUAAUUUAAAAUAUUUAUUUGAUGACUUUAUUAUUUCAUUCCAAGUCAUCAACUCAUCUCUAUAGAGCUGCUGCUUAUCCUGUCUG
Oncorhynchus tshawytscha (Chinook salmon) is the source of this 1837-nucleotide long non-coding RNA. The record is from Ensembl. Lineage: Eukaryota; Metazoa; Chordata; Actinopteri; Salmoniformes; Salmonidae.